Molecule: transfer RNA, 85 nt
Filed under: Lentimicrobiaceae bacterium
Lineage: Bacteria; Pseudomonadati; Bacteroidota; Bacteroidia; Bacteroidales; Lentimicrobiaceae
Also listed under: 2 other names
Description: tRNA-Ser
Rfam family: tRNA
About the family: Transfer RNA (tRNA) molecules are approximately 80 nucleotides in length. Their secondary structure includes four short double-helical elements and three loops (D, anti-codon, and T loops). Further hydrogen bonds mediate the characteristic L-shaped molecular structure. tRNAs have two regions of fundamental functional importance: the anti-codon, which is responsible for specific mRNA codon recognition, and the 3' end, to which the tRNAs corresponding amino acid is attached (by aminoacyl-tRNA synthetases). tRNAs cope with the degeneracy of the genetic code in two manners: having more than one tRNA (with a specific anti-codon) for a particular amino acid; and 'wobble' base-pairing, i.e. permitting non-standard base-pairing at the 3rd anti-codon position.
Source: RNAcentral
GGAGAAAUGGCAGAGCGGUCGAAUGCGGCGGUCUUGAAAACCGUUGUACAGCAAUGUACCGGGGGUUCGAAUCCCUCUUUCUCCG